AAAUUUCAAAGAUAUUUAGCAUUUAACAUUUUUAAAUAGUCUGCAUAAAAAAAAAAAAAAAAAGAUAGCGUAUUUUUAAAACAAACGGAGAUAGUCACUGGUCGGAGUUGUCAACGGCAUCUAUGCUCACCUCUCCGAUUGAAGAUGACGGCAUGGCUACUUUGACGGUAUGGUUGGCUGCAGUUCGCCAAAGGGAGAGGAAGGAGCGCUAGCGGGUAAGGGAAGACGCUGUUGCGCCAGAUUUCGGCGACGGAGGGAGAAAACGGGGUCGAUGGCGUAGAUAAGGGGAGGGGGGUUAGCGCCGGCAGCAGAUCUGGGAAGGAAUGUGGAGGCGGCGCCGGCGCUGGGCUGGCUGGUAUAGCCGAAAAAGGGGGAGGGGAAAGGCGGCGGCAAUGGCUGUCUCGCCGUGUGGUGGAAGUUCCGGUCAGAUCUGGUGCGCCGUUGAUUGGUGUCGCUGGCGGCUUGAUACUGUUCCAGUAGUGUGGGGAUCGUUUCCGGAAAGAAAUUUGGCUAGAUAGGACUAAUGUUGACUAUUUUCUAGCGAUGGAUAAACUUUUUUCCGGCAAAAUUUCGCAGGAAAAUUAAUAUAAGAAUCUAUUAUUUUUCCAUCUUCUUCCUUCAAUUUUCUCACUUUUUUUUUGGUUUCUUACUGAUUUCUCCUUGUCUUUGUGUGAAUUCGUGUGUUGUGCUGUUGUGUAAAUUAUUCCGAUCAAUAUGUUCAAUAUAUCCUUGUUAGUGAUGUCGACGGAGUGGCUAGUGAUAUUUUGUGUAUUGUUAUCUGUGAG
This 785-nucleotide long non-coding RNA is filed under the name Capsicum annuum. Its description in RNAcentral is "long non-coding RNA (CANN_LNC009326)". Lineage: Eukaryota; Viridiplantae; Streptophyta; Magnoliopsida; Solanales; Solanaceae. The record is from RNAcentral.